Schistosoma haematobium is the source of this 45-nucleotide non-coding RNA. Lineage: Eukaryota; Metazoa; Platyhelminthes; Trematoda; Strigeidida; Schistosomatidae. The record is from Rfam.
AUCCAGCUGACAAGUCCCAAAUAGGACGAAACACGCGCUCUGCAU